This 468-nucleotide ribosomal RNA is filed under the name uncultured bacterium. RNAcentral describes it as "partial 16S ribosomal RNA". It matches the Rfam family "Bacterial small subunit ribosomal RNA", at positions 28 to 507 of the family's 1533-position model. The record is from RNAcentral.
GACGAACGCUGGCGGCGUGCUUAACACAUGCAAGUCGAACGGAAAGGCCCUGCUCUUGUGGGGUGCUCGAGUGGCGAACGGGUGAGUAACACGUGAGUAACCUGCCCUUGACUUUGGGAUAACUUCAGGAAACUGGGGCUAAUACCGGAUAGGAGCUCCUGCUGCAUGGUGGGGGUUGGUAAGUUUCGGCGGUUGGGGAUGGACUCGCGGCUUAUCAGCUUGUUGGUGGGGUAGUGGCUUACCAAGGCUUUGACGGGUAGCCGGCCUGAGAGGGUGACCGGCCACAAUGGUACUGAGAGACGGCCCAGACUCCUACGGGAGGCAGCAGUGGGGAGUAUGGCGCAGUGGGCGGAAGCCUGAUGCAGAAACGCCGCGUGCGGGAUGACGGCCUUCGGGUUGUAAACCGCUUUCGCCUGUGACGAAGCGUGAGUGACGGUAAUGGGUAAAGAAGCACCGGCUAACUACGUG